CGCUGGCGGCAGGCCUAACACAUGCAAGUCGAGCGGAUGAAAGGAGCUUGCUCCUGGAUUCAGCGGCGGACGGGUGAGUAAUGCCUAGGAAUCUGCCUGGUAGUGGGGGACAACGUUUCGAAAGGAACGCUAAUACCGCAUACGUCCUACGGGAGAAAGCAGGGGACCUUCUGGCCUUGCGCUAUCAGAUGAGCCUAGGUCGGAUUAGCUAGUUGGUGAGGUAAUGGCUCACCAAGGCGACGAUCCGUAACUGGUCUGAGAGGAUGAUCAGUCACACUGGAACUGAGACACGGUCCAGACUCCUACGGGAGGCAGCAGUGGGGAAUAUUGGACAAUGGGCGAAAGCCUGAUCCAGCCAUGCCGCGUGUGUGAAGAAGGUCUUCGGAUUGUAAAGCACUUUAAGUUGGGAGGAAGGGCAGUAAAUUAAUACUUUGCUGUUUUGACGUUACCGACAGAAUAAGCACCGGCU
This 469-nucleotide ribosomal RNA is filed under the name uncultured bacterium. Its description in RNAcentral is "bacterial SSU rRNA". It matches the Rfam family "Bacterial small subunit ribosomal RNA", at positions 34 to 498 of the family's 1533-position model. The record is from RNAcentral.